Molecule: ribosomal RNA, 468 nt
Filed under: uncultured bacterium
Lineage: Bacteria
Description: partial 16S ribosomal RNA
Rfam family: Bacterial small subunit ribosomal RNA
Source: RNAcentral
GACGAACGCUGGCGGCGUGCUUAACACAUGCAAGUCGAACGGAAAGGCCCUGCUUUUGUGGGGUGCUCGAGUGGCGAACGGGUGAGUAACACGGGAGUAACCUGCCCAUGACUUUGGGAUAACUUCAGGAAACUGGGGCUAAUGCCCGAUUAGAGCUCCUGCUGCAAGGUGGGGGUUGGAAAGUUUCGGCGGUUGGGGAUGGACUGGAGGCUUAUCCGCCUGUUUGGGGGGUAGUGGCUUACCAAGGCUUUGACGGGUAGCCGGCCUGAGAGGGUGACCGGCCACAUGGGGACUGAGAUACGGCCCGCAGUCCUGCGGGAGGCAGCAGUGUGGAAUGUUGCACGAUGGGCGGAAGCCUGAUGCAGCAACGCCGCGUGCGGGAUGAUGGCCUUCGGUUUGUAGGCCGCUUUCUCCUGUGCCUAAGCGUGAGUGACGGUAAUGGGUAAAGAAGCACCGGCUAAUUACGUG